RNAcentral lists this ribosomal RNA (484 nucleotides) under uncultured bacterium. Its description in RNAcentral is "partial 16S ribosomal RNA". It matches the Rfam family "Bacterial small subunit ribosomal RNA", at positions 28 to 523 of the family's 1533-position model. The record is from RNAcentral.
GACGAACGCUGGCGGCGUGCUUAACACAUGCAAGUCGAACGAUGAUGCUGGAGCUUGCUCCAGUUGAUUAGUGGCGAACGGGUGAAUAACACGUGAGCAAUCUGCCCUUGACUCUGGGACAACUGCGGGAAACUGUAGCUAAUACCGGAUACUUUCACCGGGGGGCAUCCUCUGGUGAUGAAAGAAUUUCGGUCAAGGAUGAGCUCGCGGCCUAUCAGCUUGUUGGUGAGGUAACGGCUCACCAAGGCGACGACGGGUAACCGGCCUGAGAGGGUGACCGGUCACACUGGGACUGAGACACGGCCCAGACUCCUACGGGAGGCAGCAGUGGGGAAUAUUGCACAAUGGGCGCAAGCCUGAUGCAGCAACGCCGCGUGAGGGAUGAAGGCCUUCGGGUUGUAAACCUCUUUUAGCAGGGAAGAAGCGAAAGUGACGGUACCUGCAGAAAAAGCACCGGCUAACUACGUGCCAGCCGCCGCAGUAA